This 201-nucleotide unclassified non-coding RNA is filed under the name plant metagenome. RNAcentral's name for it is "partial contains small subunit ribosomal RNA, internal transcribed spacer 1, and 5.8S ribosomal RNA". The record is from RNAcentral.
CCUCCGUUGGUGAACCAGCGGAGGGAUCAUUAUCGAGUUUAUAACUCCCAAACCCUAUGUGAACUUACCACUUGUUGCUUCGGCGCGCGCUUCGGUGCCGCCGAGGACACUUAAACUCUUUGUUUUUAUAAGCAUUUCUGAGUGGCCGAAAGGCAAGAUACAAAUGAAUCAAAACUUUCAACAACGGAUCUCUUGGUUCUG